This 430-nucleotide ribosomal RNA is filed under the name Stygamoeba regulata. RNAcentral's name for it is "partial Eukaryotic large subunit ribosomal RNA". It matches the Rfam family "Eukaryotic large subunit ribosomal RNA", at positions 2980 to 3389 of the family's 3401-position model. The record is from RNAcentral. Lineage: Eukaryota; Discosea; Stygamoebida.
AGGUUAGUUUUACCCUACUGAUGAUUGACACACACCCCCGUCGCCGUCAAAGUAAUCCCACUUAGUACGAGAGGAACCGUGGGUUCACAUAAUUGGUAUUUGCAGUUGGCUGAACAGCCAAUGCUGCGAAGCUACCAUGUGUAGGAUUAUGGCUGAACGCCUCUAAGUCAGAAUCCAUGCUUGCCGAACGGCGAUACACUCAGGCCCUCCUAUAUUUAGGCGGUUGAGGAUAGGCGCAAGCCUUGAAUCGUACCCUGGAGUUGAGGGGGGGUGCGGGCGACUCGCCCCGUGCCCCCCCAUUCACUCUGAAUCAUAAUUCCAAAUAUCGGGAGGGAUUAAAUCCUUUGCAGACGACUUAAAUACAGAACGGGGUAUUGUAAGGAGCAGAGUAGCCUUGUUGUUACGAUCUUCUGAGAUUAAGCCUCUUGUU